RNAcentral lists this ribosomal RNA (533 nucleotides) under Clistocoeloma villosum. RNAcentral's name for it is "partial 12S ribosomal RNA". The record is from RNAcentral. Lineage: Eukaryota; Metazoa; Arthropoda; Malacostraca; Decapoda; Sesarmidae.
UUUAGUUAAGUGAAUAAAUUAUAUAGAAAUUUAUAAAUAAUAGUAGGUAAAAUUUAAUUAUUAUUUUAUAUUAAGUUUAUAAUUAUAAUUGAAGCUAAAAAAUCUAAUUUAAAAACUAGGAUUAGAUACCCUACUAUUUUAGAAAAAAUGUAAAACUGGAUUAGUAUUAGUUAUAUACUUUAAAAUUUAAAAAUUUGGCGGUGAUUUAAUCUUUUCAGAGGAACUUGUUUUUUAAUCGAUAAACCACGAAAAAUCUUACUUGUUUUAGUUAUUAAAUAACAUUAGUUUGUAUACCAUCAUUAUCAGAUAAUUCUAAGAAGAAAAAUUAUUAAAAAUAAAUUAGUUAUUAAAAUUAGAUCAUGGUGCAGCUUAUAGACAAGAUAAAAUGAGUUACAAUAAAUUAUUUUAUAAAUGGAUUAAUGAGAUAAAAAUUAUUAUGAAGGAGGAUUUGAUAGUAUUAUAAUUUUUAAUAAGUUUAUAAGAAAUAGGCUCUAAAUCAUGUACAUAUCGCCCGUCGCUUUCAUUAUAUAGAU